This 253-nucleotide ribosomal RNA is filed under the name uncultured bacterium. RNAcentral's name for it is "partial 16S ribosomal RNA". It matches the Rfam family "Bacterial small subunit ribosomal RNA", at positions 524 to 776 of the family's 1533-position model. The record is from RNAcentral.
UACGAAGGGUGCAAACGUUGCUCGGAAUUACUGGGCGUAAAGCGUGUGCAGGCGGUUGUGCAAGACAGAUGUGAAAUCCCCGGGCUUAACCUGGGAACUGCAUUUGUGACUGCACGGCUAGAGUGUGUCAGAGGGGGGUAGAAUUCCGCGUGUAGCAGUGAAAUGCGUAGAUAUGCGGAGGAACACCGAUGGCGAAGGCAAUCCCCUGGGCCUGCACUGACGCUCAUGCACGAAAGCGUGGGGAGCAAACAGG